Long non-coding RNA from Lacerta agilis (Sand lizard), 902 nucleotides. RefSeq lists it as uncharacterized. NCBI's taxonomy places the organism in Eukaryota, Metazoa, Chordata, Lepidosauria, Squamata, Lacertidae. The record is from RefSeq and is a predicted model, not a curated record. The transcript has 2 exons.
UUUUUUUGCAUUGCGUUUCCAUCUCACCGCAGGGAUUACAUUUCCUCCAUCUAGUGCACACUCUAUACGCUUCAUACCUCUGAGGAAGGGGACUCUAGUCCGCCAAAGCUGUGCCACCAGGCCAUUGUAGUGAUUCAGAGACAUUUCCUAGUUGUUGUAGCAGCUAAUAAAUUUCACUAUACUAAAUCUUGUCUCAAGGACUGGACAGAUGACAAGAGGACUUCAUUAUGAUACUUCCAUAAGCUAGAGGCACCAGGAAAAUCUAGGCUACGUUCAUUUACCAUGCUUGUAUUAGUUUCUCUGCCAGAAGAAGCAGAAAAGAAUCGUAGUGUAAUCUACAAUUAUCCAUGAACUUGCUUGCAAGAGGAUCUAGAUUUCCAAAAUACUUUAGGUACAUCUCAGUUUGCACAAUGACAAUGUAGGAUUUUCAGAGACUACAGUAGGAUUCCACUGGUAUCUUUUUCUCUGCACCUGUGUCUCUUUUAUGGUCUUCUUGUCUAGAUCCAUGUGUAACAUUAAAGAACCCCCAAAAGAGGGAAGCCAAUAUAUUACUAUGGGGCAUUUGCUUUCUUAUUACAUUUAUAACAGUAGCAGUACUGUAGUAGUAAUCAUAGUCAGCAGAGUGCUAUUUAGGGAGUUUGUGUGUCUUGGGUGGCAUUUGAUCUGGGCAGAUUGGAAUGGAGCAAAAGAUAAUUUCAUAUUAGUAAACACCACUGGCUGCAGCAAAAGGCUAUGAACACCGUAGCAUUCUCAGCUAGAAAAGCAAAGAUCCAUAUUUACAAGGAGUGUGCGCAUAUCUCUGCUUUUUCCUUUUAUGGACAGCAUUUACUAUACCAUGUAAAUUUAGAUUUGCUAUAAUAUAGAUGGAAAUUUUCUUAAAAUAAAUGGACCUGCUCAGCUCA